This 65-nucleotide transfer RNA is filed under the name uncultured Prevotella sp. It matches the Rfam family "tRNA", at positions 7 to 64 of the family's 71-position model. Rfam says of the family: Transfer RNA (tRNA) molecules are approximately 80 nucleotides in length. Lineage: Bacteria; Pseudomonadati; Bacteroidota; Bacteroidia; Bacteroidales; Prevotellaceae. The record is from RNAcentral.
GUUGUAGUUCAGUUGGUUAGAGCGUCAGAUUGUGGUUCUGAAUGUCGUGGGUUCGAGUCCCAUCU